CUUCACCCCGAAGAAGCGGAUUAAAAGGGAAUCAGGUGUAAAUCCUGAACAGUUCCCGCUGCUGUAAGUUUCUACAAAGCAUUUCAGUUACCACAAUGCCACUGGACGGUUUGUCCGGGAAGGCCCUGAAAUGGAAACGAGUCAGAAGACCUGCCAUAUGUUUU
Molecule: non-coding RNA, 164 nt
Filed under: fish gut metagenome
Source: RNAcentral